ACGACUACAUUAGAUACCCCGGUAGUCCUAGCCGUAAACGAUACUCGCUAGGUGUCGGCCACGGUGCGACCGUUGUCGGUGCCGUAGGGAAGCCGUGAAGCGAGCCACCUGGGAAGUACGGCCGCAAGGCUGAAACUUAAGGAAUUGGCGGGGGAGCACAACAACGGGUGGAGCUUGCGGUUUAAUUGGAUUCAACGCCGGAAAUCUUUACCGGGACCGACAGCAACAUGAAGGCCAAGCUGAAGACUUUUGCCGGAUUUAGCUG
RNAcentral lists this ribosomal RNA (265 nucleotides) under uncultured archaeon. RNAcentral describes it as "partial 16S ribosomal RNA". It matches the Rfam family "Archaeal small subunit ribosomal RNA", at positions 719 to 982 of the family's 1478-position model. The record is from RNAcentral.